This 469-nucleotide ribosomal RNA is filed under the name uncultured Pelotomaculum sp. Its description in RNAcentral is "bacterial SSU rRNA". It matches the Rfam family "Bacterial small subunit ribosomal RNA", at positions 916 to 1382 of the family's 1533-position model. The record is from RNAcentral. Lineage: Bacteria; Bacillati; Bacillota; Clostridia; Eubacteriales; Desulfotomaculaceae.
GGGGCCCGCACAAGCGGUGGAGCAUGUGGUUUAAUUCGACGCAACGCGAAGAACCUUACCAGGGCUUGACAUCCCCUGACCGCGUAUGAAAGUACGUUUUCACCCUCGGGUGACAGGGAGACAGGUGGUGCAUGGUCGUCGUCAGCUCGUGUCGUGAGAUGUUGGGUUAAGUCCCGCAACGAGCGCAACCCCUACGUUUAGUUGCUAACGCGUGAAGGCGAGCACUCUAGACGAACUGCCGUUGACAAAACGGAGGAAGUGGGGAUGACGUCAAAUCAUCAUGCCCCUUAUGUCUUGGGCUUCACGCAUGCUACAAUGGCCGGUACAAAGGGCUGCGAUACCGCGAGGUGGAGCGAAUCCCAGAAAGCCGGUCUCAGUUCGGAUUGGGGUCUGCAACUCGACCCCAUGAAGUCGGAGUCGCUAGUAAUCGCAGAUCAGCAACGCUGCGGUGAAUACGUUCCCGGGCCUU